This 67-nucleotide transfer RNA is filed under the name Mesoplodon eueu (Ramari's beaked whale). RNAcentral describes it as "tRNA-Lys". Lineage: Eukaryota; Metazoa; Chordata; Mammalia; Artiodactyla; Ziphiidae. The record is from RNAcentral.
CAUUAAGAAGCUAAAUUAGCAUUAACCUUUUAAGUUAAAGAUUGAAAGCCCAGACUUUCCUUAAUGG